CCUACGGGAGGCUGCAGUGGGGAAUAUUGGACAAUGGGGGGAACCCUGAUCCAGCCAUGCCGCGUGUGUGAAGAAGGCCCUCGGGUUGUAAAGCACUUUCAGUGAGGAAGAACGCCUGGUGGUUAAUACCCAUCAGGAAAGACAUCACUCACAGAAGAAGCACCGGCUAACUCCGUGCCAGCAGCCGCGGUAAUACGGAGGGUGCGAGCGUUAAUCGGAAUUACUGGGCGUAAAGCGCGCGUAGGUGGCUUGAUAAGCCGGUUGUGAAAGCCCCGGGCUCAACCUGGGAACGGCAUCCGGAACUGUCAAGCUAGAGUGCAGGAGAGGAAGGUAGAAUUCCCGGUGUAGCGGUGAAAUGCGUAGAGCUCGGGAGGAAUACCAGUGGCGAAGGCGGCCUUCUGGACUGACACUGACACUGAGGUGCGAAAGCGUGGGUAGCAAACAGGAUUAGAUACCCUGGUAGUC
RNAcentral lists this ribosomal RNA (465 nucleotides) under Vreelandella stevensii. RNAcentral describes it as "partial 16S ribosomal RNA". It matches the Rfam family "Bacterial small subunit ribosomal RNA", at positions 338 to 795 of the family's 1533-position model. The record is from RNAcentral. Lineage: Bacteria; Pseudomonadati; Pseudomonadota; Gammaproteobacteria; Oceanospirillales; Halomonadaceae.